AUACGAAGGGUGCAAGCGUUACUCGGAAUUACUGGGCGUAAAGCGUGCGUAGGUGGUUCGUUAAGUCUGAUGUGAAAGCCCUGGGCUCAACCUGGGAAUUGCAUUGGAUACUGGCGGGCUAGAGUACGGUAGAGGGUGGCGGAAUUCCUGGUGUAGCAGUGAAAUGCGUAGAGAUCAGGAGGAACACCCGUGGCGAAGGCGGCCACCUGGACCAGUACUGACACUGAGGCACGAAGGCGUGGGGAGCAAACAGGAUUAGAUACCCUGGUAGUCCACGCCCUAAACGAUGCGAACUGGAUGUUGGGUUCAACUAGGAACUCAGUAUCGAAGCUAACGCGUUAAGUUCGCCGCCUGGGGAGUACGGUCGCAAGGCUGAA
Molecule: ribosomal RNA, 377 nt
Filed under: uncultured bacterium
Lineage: Bacteria
Description: bacterial SSU rRNA
Rfam family: Bacterial small subunit ribosomal RNA
Source: RNAcentral